CUGUGGCGGCUGAAACAGGAGAGACGCGCGGCCUCUGACCCCACUCUCUGCAGCAAAUAUCUGCUUACGCCCCUGGACUCAUGGACGCUUCUUACUGCUGACUGGAAUUCAGUUGUUUUAUGUGCAGCCAUUUCAGUAUCCAAAUGAACUGUUGGACAUACACAAUGUACACAGAGAGACGUUCUUUAUUCAAGGGUGUUGUUUCUCAGCAGCUCCAUACGGAUGGCGAUGCGAGUGUGCCAGCCAAGAGGGAUGAUACGGAUGUAACGUGCUACGAUAGGUGGACGCAGCAGGUUCUGGACUGUGGAAGAACGGUCAGAGUUUCCAUAGAACACCUGAGGGAAAACAAGAUGGGCUGUUUGUCUUCUUACCCUGUUGUUUCCAGUUUGGUCCUUAUAGUAGAUCCAGUUGAGUUUCUCAUUGGUGCGGUACUGCACAGAGUACUUGGUUACCCACUCAUCAGAGUCACAGCGCCCCUGGGUCAGGAUCCCAGAAACCACUUUGACCAACUUCAGGUCAAUCUGAAGCCACUGUCACCAUACUGAGCAGUAUUUCAAAGAACUCACCCAAAUCCUUGGCUGUUGAGCCUUGCCUUGCUUGCAAUCCAGGAGGAGAACCAGCCUGUGUACUGGUCUUCAUUAGAGCAGCUCAUCUGAUCUGAAGUCACAGAUCCUGCCUCAAAACCCAGGGGCUUAUGACCGUUUCUCUUUCUUACCUGGCAUGCAGUCCAUCUCCUGCGACCAACUUGAUGAAGAACCUUUGGAAAGCAGUUUGCUAGAGGAUUCAUCGCAGUCACACUUGCAGACGUCACAGCGGGACUCAUGACGCCUGGAAAGGAGACCAAGCAUUCAGCGAGAGAGAUCAGUGUGAAUAUGGGGGUGGCGGGUCCUGAAUCAGACGAGUGAAAGCCUCUGCUCACCAAAAUCACACAGCUUCAGGAUAUCAUUGGCGCUGAUGAGGAGAUUUUCAGGCUUGAUAUCUGCAGAUUAGAUA
Megalobrama amblycephala (Wuchang bream) is the source of this 993-nucleotide long non-coding RNA. RefSeq lists it as uncharacterized. NCBI's taxonomy places the organism in Eukaryota, Metazoa, Chordata, Actinopteri, Cypriniformes, Xenocyprididae. The record is from RefSeq and is a predicted model, not a curated record. The transcript has 7 exons.